Long non-coding RNA from Aquila chrysaetos chrysaetos, 408 nucleotides. RefSeq lists it as uncharacterized. The transcript is spliced from 2 exons. The record is from RefSeq and is a predicted model, not a curated record. Lineage: Eukaryota; Metazoa; Chordata; Aves; Accipitriformes; Accipitridae.
GUGGUGGGCCCGGCCCGGACCCGCCGCGGGGAGCUGCUGUGCCGGGGGCCUGCGGGGCCGGGGCAGGCCGCGGGGGAGGGGGCCUGGCGGCUUUGCCAUCAAGGAGCCUGAGCCCGAGCCCGAGGCCGGCUCCUCACAGCGUGUCGGGAGGUGCCAGCCGGGUGGAAGGAAAGCGUCUUCCCUGUGAGGACGUGAUCCAAGCAAGCACUUUGAGUGGGGACCUGUCCAAACCUCCAGAUCUUGCUGUGGCUGUUUACAUCUGUUCUGUCAGUCUUCCUUCAAAUCUAUACUUCACUUACCGUCUCUCCUUCUGACUCCCAUCUCUUCACACAAUAGCUCAAAUUAGCAUGGUAUUUUUUUCCCAGUUUUCCCCACUUCUGGAUGAAAUAAAAGGUUUGUUCCUUCGAA